Molecule: long non-coding RNA, 3409 nt
Filed under: Vitis vinifera (wine grape)
Lineage: Eukaryota; Viridiplantae; Streptophyta; Magnoliopsida; Vitales; Vitaceae
Description: long non-coding RNA (VVIN_LNC006856)
Source: RNAcentral
UCCAUUUUGUCUCCCUCUGGCUUUUCAAGAUUUCCCCCCUCCCCCAUUUUUUCCUUCCUCUCACCUCUCUCCUCUUUCCGCUCGCCCCCAACUCGGAGAACAGCCACCUCAUUUUUUUAGAGUUUUCCCCAUUUUUCCCUCUCCAGGGGCUUCCUCUCACACGGUCGGCACCUUACCUUGAAAUCUUCCCAUUAUUUUCCUUUUCUCUUCUCCCCCCGAACUCCCACACGCCGGCCUCGAGAUUUAUUUUAUUUAUUUAUUUUUCUUUCUUCCUUCCUCCCUUACAGCACUCCGCCAUACCUCCCUUCCAGCAGCAUGACCCUAACGCCUACUCCCGCUGGCGCCUUUUCCGGCGUCCUUCCAUCCCCAUUUUCUUCCUCCCAUUUUAUUUUAAUUUUUAUUUUAUUUUAUUUUGCUUCCUAAAACCCGUCCACCCUCACUGUCGUCGGUAGGGCCACCGCCGGCGAGCUAUUGCCGGCCGGCGACCCCCUUCCCAUCUCAUCCGUUUCCCAUUAUUAUUAUUCAUUUUUCUCGAUUUGAUUAUAAUAGUAAUUGUUGUUUGUGAUAUUUGAAUUGUUGAAAUAAUAUGAAAUUUGGGGUUAAUUUAUUGUUGGUAGAUUAAUAUGCAAUUUGGUUUAAUUUAUUGUUAGUGAAUUAAUUUGAAAUUUGUUAAUUUGGGUUUGUGGGUAUAUUGUAUUUGGUGAUUAACUUGGAGGAUAUUUGGAUUAUAUCAAUUGCAUAUUGUUUAUUUGGGCUUUGGUCUACUGUUAAGUUGUUAUUUGUUUGGGCUUAUUAGAUUGGGUUUGAAAUGUUAUUUCUCUUGACCAUGUAUUUUUUUUAUGUGGACUUGUUAAUUGAUGUGAAUUUUGGGGCCUAUAAUGUGGGUGAGAUUUGUUGGAUUAUUUGAAUAUUUGAUAUGGGCUUGGCCCAUUUGAAUUGUUUAAUUUGGACAUGAGACAAUUAUAGUGUAUAUUAAACUAGGCGUAGAUUAUGAAAUAUUAAAUUUAGGUCUAGUAGAAUUUAUUUUAAUUUAUCCAAUUUUAGGUUUGGUUGAUUGUGUUUGUAUUUUUGGUUAUUAAUUUGGAUGUUCUGGGUUAAGACAUAUAGUAAUUUGGGCUCAUUUUAAUUGACGAAAUUUAUGGGACUAAUUUGAAAUUGGAAUUUGGGUUUGAAUAUUUGUUUGGGAUUUUAUACAUCUCUGGAUAUUUACAUUUGUGCUUUUUUUUUUUUUUUUUUUUGCAUGGACCAUUCUGCAAUUUUGUUGACCGAGUACGAAUCUAUGACACGUGGAGCACAGAAUUUCAUAGAAGAAAGUGAGACUCGGAAAGCUGUAGAAAGACAUUAAGUUUUUUGUAAGCUUGUUUAGGUACAUAUUUUAUUUCUCACUCUUAUUUAAUUUUAUUUCUGUAAAUAUUUAUCUGUGUAUAUUUACUUGUGUGUACAAAAUUGAACAUCGAACAAACUAGAAAUUUUGUUUAAAUGAGAGGAAGAAUUCAGUAAAUGUGUUUUGAUAAAACAAUAAUUUUAAAAUAUUAUUUUUAAUAAAAGAAUUUUGUUUUAUUUAUAAAAAUUUAGAAAAAUGCAUUUAGAAAAAUCCAAAGGAAUUGUUUUUAAUAGAAUUUGAAAAAUUGUUUUUAAUAAAAUUGUCUAAAAAUUUCUUUGUUUAAUAAAAAUUGUCCAAAAAUUGUUUUGUAAAUAAAGUUGUCCCAAAAAAAUAAUUUUUAAUAAAAUUGUCCGAAAAAUGUGUUUUUAAAUAAAUUCUUUUUCCUUAAUUAAAAUAUGAUUAGAAGUAAUUUUUAGAAAUAAGAGAUUGAAUUUUUUUUCUUUUUAAUUAAAAAUUCUUUUGCAAAUAAAGUUACUUUUUUUUAAUAAUUUGUACAAAUUACUUUUCUUAAAUAAAAACAAAUUGAAAUACUUUUAUAAAUAAAAUUAUAAAAAUUCAUUCUUUUCUAUUAAAAGCAAGUAAAAAUAAUUUUUUUAGAAAAAUUGAAAUUUUGUAAUAAAUUCUUUUAAUACAAUAAAUGUAAAUAACUUUUUUGAAAAUUGAAUACAAAUGAAAUUAAGAAAAUAAAUUGAUUCUUUUAUGUAAAUAAAUAAAUUGAAAUUAUUAAUUCAAAAUCAUUUUUAAUAAAAUCCUUUGAAAUUUCUUGAAAANNNNNNNNNNNNNNNNNNNNNNNNNNNNNNNNNNNNNNNNNNNNNNNNNNNNNNNNNNNNNNNNNNNNNNNNNNNNNNNNNNNNNNNNNNNNNNNNNNNNAAAUCCUUUGAAAUUUCUUGAAAACUAUUUUUUUAAUAUCUUUUUUUAUUUAGUUCAAUAAAUCAUUUUGCAUAAUUCUCUUAUUAUUUAUUUUGUGUAUUUUUGUAAUUGGAUUUCAUCAUUAUUUUUGUAUAUAUUGGUUUUCACCAUGAUUUGUAUAUACUCAUUUGCAUGAUUAUUUUUUUUGUAUCCAUAAUUAACCAAUUAAUUGCCACAAUUCCCUCAAUUAGUUUAGUAGAGACCGUAUGUAUACAGGCUUAGAGAGAUGCUACGGCUCACUACCGUACCUUCCCAAUAAUUAACCUGACUCCGAACCCAUAUUCUGUUUUUGCAUACAUGUCUUUUCCAAAUAAGGAGUCACAUAGGGUUUUCUUUUCUUAUUUUGUUUUCCCUUUUAAAAAAAAAUUAAAAUAAGUGACGAUUCCAAGUCUUUUCUAAAAAUCAAUUUUCACCAAAUAAAUAAAACAAAAAGCAAGUUUCACUUUCGAGUGGGAACGCAUCGAGUGAAAUCUGGGGUCCACACAUACUCAAGAACAUUAAAAACAAGUUUUAAAACAUUUCAAGUUCCAAACAAAUUUUUGUUCUAUAAAACAUUAAAAAGCAAUUUUAAAAUUUUAUUUUAAAAAACUGUUUUUUAAAACUAUUUUAGAAGACGAUUACUAAAAAGGGCCUUAAUAACAUCUCUUGGAUUUGUUUGGGUUAUAUUUGGUUCCCGAAAACAUUAAGAAAAAAAAAAUUAAGGAAAAUGAUUCUCGUGUUAGGUUUCAAUAUGAAAAAUAAUACAAAUUUUUGGUUUCAUAUGGAAGAUGAGUAAAUUACCAGGUGGGCGUUGGGAUUAAUCAUUUAAAAUAAAAAAAAUUUGUAGCUACAAUUGCAUAAACAUGAAUAGCAUGAUUCAUUGCUUGAUUUCUUACACCAUAAAUCAUUGCUAUACAUUUUACACAGUUUUGGAGAGUAGUGGAAAAACUAGUCGAAAAUUAAACAAGCAGUUGGAUACAGAGAAUCUUGGAGAAGGGCAAGGUAUUAACGAUCAUCAUGGCCAGUGUAGGAUCUACUUGAUCUAAGCCUCUAAGCCUAUAACGUCAUAGAAGCAACUUCAAGGGAUUAAACACUGAUUUUCAUACCUUUCUAUAGGUCAACAUUCAAGCAAUGCUA